Long non-coding RNA from Solanum pennellii, 1099 nucleotides. RefSeq lists it as uncharacterized. The transcript has 2 exons. NCBI's taxonomy places the organism in Eukaryota, Viridiplantae, Streptophyta, Magnoliopsida, Solanales, Solanaceae. The record is from RefSeq and is a predicted model, not a curated record.
GACCCAACCCAAUUUCAGCGAUUACACAGAACAGUUCCCCAAUGCGUGAGAGAACGACGACCCAAACCCAGAAUUCGAUCGUGUGUGACACGUCUUCUUCCCUUUCUCAGUCUGGUUGUGCGAUUUUUAGAGGAAGGCAGCGUAAUUGUGCAGAGAGCAAGGCGAGGUGGCAAAAUCCCAGCUCUCUCUCGUCCUAGAGUCAAUAUCGAACGACUCUCCUUUCAAUUCCGUUGGGAAUUAGUACUAUGGACAACUUUCAAACCUGUUCCUCUGAAGAGAUUUUGAAUUUCAAAUCUUGAAUUGGACCCCAUCCUUACCCGUUUUCCCACCUAAAUCAUCCCUAAUUUCCAUCUAUUUAAACCUACUCUUAUCUUCAUUAUUGAGGGGGCUGAAAAGAGGAAGUAAGAAAAAAAAAGAAAAAAAAACAUACUAAUCAUAUACUGUUUUCAUCAAUCGAUCGAAAUACGUAGAAAUAGGAUUCAAUCGAUAAAAUUUGGAAGGUUAGCUUGGGAUUUUUCUCUCAAGGCGUUCAUUGAAGAUUUGUGGUGAAGUCGUCGCCAGCUCUUGGUUCCAGUUUGCUGCCCGGAAAAAUGCUCACACUACCAUAUAUGAGGCGUCCAGCCCCCUCUAAACUGGUGUACAGGUCGAAAAGCAGCAAAUAUGUUGCUGGAAAAUAAUUUGCAGGUCUCCAAAAGCCCAAGAAAGGGAUAAUAUACUGUUGUAUACACUCAUAUACAGUCGGAAUAUGUGAUGCACAGUUCCAAAAAAUUAUACAGGUUUUGGAAAUUUGAUCUGGGGCAGCAUACAUUCGGUAUACAUCCCAAGAUACAGGAAACGGGGCUAAUAUAUGAAUUUUAUACCCUGAUAUACAACGUUUGUAUACAAAAACGGAAAUUGAUAUGAAGUCCAAAGUCAGCAGCUUUGGCCCAAUGUUUCUGGGCAGCAAUAGGCCCAGAAGGCCCAAACCUUCCUCUCUCACUCUUUUUUUAUUUGAAUUUAUUAAUUUGUCUAACUCUCACUUUAUUUGCUAAUUGAUUUUAAGAAUAACUUAAUUAAAUUCCCCAAAAGAUGAACCAUAUUUCAAUUUCUUGUUCAAAUA